This 430-nucleotide ribosomal RNA is filed under the name uncultured archaeon. RNAcentral's name for it is "bacterial SSU rRNA". It matches the Rfam family "Archaeal small subunit ribosomal RNA", at positions 474 to 903 of the family's 1478-position model. The record is from RNAcentral.
UACCAGCUCUCCGAGUGGUAGGGAUGAUUAUUGGGCUUAAAGCGUCCGUAGCCGGCUUAGCAAGUUUCCUGUUAAACCCAGCGACUCAAUCGUUGGAUCGCGGGAAAUACUACUAGGCUAGGAGGCGGGAGAGGUCAACGGUACUUCUGGGGUAGGGGUGAAAUCCUAUAAUCCCGGGAGGACCACCAGUGGCGAAGGCUGUUGACUAGAACGCGCUCGACGGUGAGGGACGAAAGCUGGGGUAGCAAACCGGAUUAGAUACCCGGGUAGUCCCAGCUGUAAACGAUGCGAGCUAGGUGUUGGGAUGGCUACGGGCCAUUUCAGUGCCGCAGGGAAGCCAUUAAGCUCGCCGCCUGGGGAGUACGGCCGCAAGGCUGAAACUUAAAGGAAUUGGCGGGGGAGCGACCACAAGGCGUGAAGCUUGCGGUUC